UCGUGAUUUUUUUAAUUUCACAAUUGAUCUUUUUAAUCGUUUAACAGCCCUGAUAUAUUUACAGCUUCAUUCGUAUCUUCCAAGGAGAAUAUCACUGCCGUCCAUCGUUUGCAGAUUCAACGCUGCUUCCAGAGGAGAAUCUAUUUGCUGAACUGUGAUUCCUGCUAACCCAGGGAAGCAAUGGUCGGAUUGAAGCCCACUGACAUCCCUCCAACUGCUACUGUUAAGUUCCUGGGUGCUGGGAUGGCAGCAUGCAUAGCAGAUCUCUGCACCUUCCCUCUGGACACGGCGAAAGUCAGACUGCAGAUCCAGGGAGAGUCCAAGCCUACCAAGAGCGUGAAGACCAUCCACUAUAAGGGCGUCUUUGGCACCAUCACCACCAUGGUGAAGACGGAAGGUCCCACGAGCCUGUACAACGGCCUGGUGGCUGGGCUCCAGCGUCAGAUGAGCUUCGCUUCCAUUCGUAUCGGGCUGUACGACUCCGUGAAACAAUUCUACACCUCCACGGGGUCGGAGAAUGCCGGCGUUCUCACCCGGUUGCUGGCGGGCUGCACCACCGGAGCCAUGGCAGUCACGUGUGCCCAGCCGACCGACGUGGUCAAGGUGCGAUUCCAAGCCCACGUGAGGCUGACGGAUGGAACCAAGAAAUACAACGGGACUGUGGAUGCCUACAAAACCAUCGCCAAGGAGGAAGGGGUCAGAGGCCUCUGGAAAGGGACGUUACCCAACAUCACCCGCAACGCCAUCGUGAACUGCGGAGAGAUGGUUACCUAUGACCUCCUCAAGGAGAUGCUGCUGAAAUAUCAUCUAAUGACAGACACUUUUCCUUGCCAUUUCGUCGCUGCUUUCGGAGCUGGGUUCUGCGCCACUGUGGUGGCUUCGCCCGUCGACGUCGUGAAGACGAGAUACAUGAAUUCCACCCGUGGCCAGUACAAAAAUGCCUUGAACUGUAUGCUCACCAUGGUGAUCCUGGAAGGGCCCACAGCGUUUUACAAGGGGUUCAUGCCCUCGUUCCUACGGUUGGGAUCCUGGAACGUGGUGAUGUUUGUGACCUACGAGCAGCUGAAACGCGCCAUGAUGCUGGCCCAUGAGACGUAGGCGUCUCCAUCCUAAGCCCCAGGGAUGAGACGACAGAGGACAGCCUGGGGGCUCCCGUGGGUUCUCCUCUCCCAGGCAAAGCUGGCUCUCUCGGCUGAACUCUGACCGGGACACACACUCCCAGCCGCUGAGGUGGGGACAUGCGGCUUUGGAUGGACUGUCCGGCAACAGCUGGCUUUUCGAAACCCACUUGUCAUAGUCGGCGAGAUGCCAACAUAUAUUACGUUAUUUAAACAUGCCCAAGGGAUGCAAGAUACUGAAGCGACGAAAAAGGACUAGAAAAAACCAAACCAUCAGUGAAGCCAAACUUUCGAUACGGCCUCUGAGCUCUUCGAACCAUCUUGGAUCCAGGUGCUGCCAUGUGGACAGGAAACUGGAGCAUAAUCCCAGGGUGAUGAUAAAGAGCAAGAGCCGACCGCCCUCAGAUGGAACUGCAGUAGGACACCGACCCGAUCUGCCUGCGGUGCACACUAGUCAGUGUUCUGGAGCUGCACUGAGAGGGGGUUACUGGAGGAACAUUGCCCACCCAUGUGGAUCACUCGUGUCACAGGGGAAUAGUGGCCAUUCAACUGUGUCAUUGUUAUUGCCAUCUUGCAGCCAUUGCUAAUAAAAGAACUCAGAGGGCCCCCAGGGGAUCCCGUUGCGGGUCUCCUGGCUUUUCCUUGGCAGAUUUAGUUCUUUCUCUCAUUUUCCUCUCUGGCCCAUGCUGAAAGGCCUGUGGAGCAAACCCAGAAGGGAUGGCUGAGGGAUCUAAGCAUCGGGUUAGAAAUACCUAGAACGAUCCCAAUGCUUGAAUCCUAGUGGGAUCAGCUCACCCUGCAUCUUUCUGAGCUGGACAAAUGAACCUGCUUCACCGAAAGCACUAACCCAAGGCCAAAGCAACAGCAUCGCCCUGGUCAAUGAAAGACAAUGGCAACUACAGCAGGCAGGCCCCCACCCGAGCAGUGGCGUGGAAUUCACCCCGGUCCAGGUGCAGAAACCUUGUGCUGAAUUUCCCCUUCAGUGCUGAGCUCACAGGAGUGAUUUGGGGAAGUCUGCUCCAGCAGCACCGGCCCCUUUCCGGUCUCCGUGGUUCACAUCCUAAAGGAUCAACAAGGGCCACAGUUAAGGGUCUCUUAAAAACAUCCUUCGCAGGUCCCCUUUAACUGUCCCGGUGGAGCAGUAAAUGGCAUCCCAAAUGAUACAGGGCUUUGCAGAUCAGAAUCACCAGCUUGAGCUACACCUAAUAGCAACGCUAAUCAGAGCUUGCAGCCAGAGCAGAGCACCCCUGUGCAGUCAGUACGAGGCUCAUGCACUUAUCUGGGAUGGACGCACCCUCCAGGCCAAGUGGGAUACGUGCUGCGUACUCUGCUGUGAUUCACUGCACAGAGGUGAAUUUCACCCUCCGUGCACAGCUGCUCUGUACCCACAGCCCCACGCUCUUCACAAGCACUGAAAUUCAUAACCCAUAAAGAUUAGCCCAGCACAGCCCCCUGGUGCAGACGCAGCCUACCCGACAGAUGGAGUUUUCUGUCGGUGCAGGAACACCACCUCCCGGCGUGACAUUAGCUACGCCAACAGAAGCAUUCUUCCAUUGACAUAGCUGCAUCUACUCUGAGGGUUAGGUCGGCAUCAGUCGGGGAGUUUUCUUCAUACUCCUGACCGAUGUAGCUCUGCUGAUAUAACUUUCAAGGGCGGACCCUGCCUUAGAUCAGUGACUCUCAACCUACUGUAUCCCUUUCAAGAGUCUGAUUUGUCUUGGGUACCCCCAAGUUUCACCUCACUUAAAAACUACUUGCUUACAAAAUCAGGCAUAAAAAUAUAGACGUGUCACAGCCACACUGUUACUGACCAAAUGCUGACUUUUGCAUUUUUACCAGAUAAUUAUAAAAUAAAUCAAUUGGAAUAUAAAUAUUGUACUUACAUUUCAACGUAUAGUAUAUAGAGCAGUGUAAGUAAGUCACUGUAUGAAAUUUUACUUGGUACUGACUUUGCCUAGUUUUACAACAUGCUACAUAAAAAGCACUAGCAAAUACCUAGAUGAGUGGAUGUACUUCCUGGAAGACCUCUGAGUACCCCCCUGGGUACGUGUGCCCCUCGUUGAGAACCACUGCCUUAGAUACUACAAUGAUGGGCAGAAUAGAAAACUCUAAGACAGAUACAUCAACAUUCAAUUCUACUUCUAACUGGACUAUGAUUAUGGCAUUAAAGAAUUAA
RNA transcript from Malaclemys terrapin pileata, 3294 nucleotides. It is a transcript of the gene named mitochondrial uncoupling protein 3-like, with no coding region annotated. The record is from RefSeq and is a predicted model, not a curated record. The transcript has 7 exons. Lineage: Eukaryota; Metazoa; Chordata; Testudines; Emydidae.